AUCCAGCCCAUUAUGAUGAUAAGUGGGAGAGCAAUCCCUCCACCCACUUUUUCUUCAUAAUGAAUUUCUUUUUGGCUAAAUAUUCAAGGGCUGGAAGCUCUAGGAUCCACCCUGUUUCAAAAUAUUAUGAAAACAGUUUGUCAUUAUUUCAAGGAACCUGUACAAUAUUUUACACAUUUUGACCAUGCACUUAUUUCUGGGGUCUCUGUUUGUACUCGUUUCUUUAUCUAAAG
Pelobates cultripes (western spadefoot toad) is the source of this 233-nucleotide non-coding RNA. Lineage: Eukaryota; Metazoa; Chordata; Amphibia; Anura; Pelobatidae. The record is from the annotation of a GenBank genome assembly.